RNAcentral lists this ribosomal RNA (253 nucleotides) under uncultured bacterium. RNAcentral describes it as "partial 16S ribosomal RNA". It matches the Rfam family "Bacterial small subunit ribosomal RNA", at positions 524 to 776 of the family's 1533-position model. The record is from RNAcentral.
UACGGAGGGUGCGAGCGUUGUCCGGAAUCACUGGGCGUAAAGGGCGCGUAGGCGGCGCGGGGAGUCAACGGUGAAAGCUCGGCGCUCAACGCCGAGUCGGCCGUCGAUACUCCCGUGCUCGAGCACUGUAGAGGCAGGUGGAAUUCCGGGUGUAGCGGUGGAAUGCGUAGAGAUCCGGAAGAACACCGGUGGCGAAAGCGAGGUCCUGGACGUUUUCUGACGCUGAGACGCGAAAGCUAGGGUAGCGAACGGG